UGAGACUCUGUGGGUGCCAUCACUGGGAGCAGCAUGUCAUCUAUUCCAACUGAUGCCAUGUGCUCACAGAAGCCGGUAUUUUACAAGGCACUGCAGCAUAUUUAUACUUCCCUUCUACUUCCCUUCUUGCUGACACUCCUGUCCCUCCCUCCCACCUGACACAUGGACCACGUGGGAAAGGCAGUGCCAAGGAACCAUCUGACAAACGGAUUUCACCCAGACCAAAGUGACCCUGACAGAUGUGAGGCUGCAUCCCAGGCUAGUCAGCAUGGCCUGCUAACUGAGAGGGAAGAGAAUUCUCCACAUUCUGUUCCUACGACGACCUUGGAUAACUUGGAUCUGUUCUUGUGGGAUUUGGAGCUCUGCUCCCGGAUGGAUGUGAGAUGAGAGAGCAAUACAAAAACCCACCAGCCCAUAGGAGAAGGCUGGACAGUGCAGACCGAGGUUUAAACCAAACCCCAAGUCUUCAGUUCACCUCUGGCAUACUGGGACACUCAAGUCAUUAACAGAAUUCAUCUGGUAGGAGAAAUUGGGAAGGACCAGAAGUAUUUCAGUCCUGCAGCAAAUGGUUUACAAACAGAUGCCUCAAAAGAAAGUCAGGUAAGGACUCCCUCAAAUUUUCAGGGCUCUAGAACAAACAACUUGAAAAAGGAUACGAUAAAACCAAGAAAGACUUGGGAUACAUUGUCAGUGCAUUCACAGUCUCAGAGAC
Corapipo altera (White-ruffed manakin) is the source of this 712-nucleotide long non-coding RNA. RefSeq lists it as uncharacterized. The transcript has 3 exons. The record is from RefSeq and is a predicted model, not a curated record. NCBI's taxonomy places the organism in Eukaryota, Metazoa, Chordata, Aves, Passeriformes, Pipridae.